This 79-nucleotide transfer RNA is filed under the name Brevundimonas vesicularis. RNAcentral describes it as "tRNA-Val". Lineage: Bacteria; Pseudomonadati; Pseudomonadota; Alphaproteobacteria; Caulobacterales; Caulobacteraceae. The record is from RNAcentral.
AGCGUCGUUUGAUUUUCAAUGAGAGCGCAGUUCGUUGACAUCGAGGGGGUCACAGGUUCAAUCCCUGUCGCGUCCACCA